AGAGGGUGCGAGCGUUGUCCGGAAUUACUGGGCGUAAAGGGCGCGUAGGCGGCUUGAUAAGUAGGGGGUGAAAUUCCAUGGCUCAACCAUGGAUCGGCCUUCUAGACUGUCAGGCUUGAGCACGGUAGAGGCAGAUGGAAUUCCCGGUGUAGCGGUGGAAUGCGUAGAGAUCGGGAAGAACACCAGUGGCGAAGGCGGUCUGCUGGGCCGUUGCUGACGCUGAGGCGCGACAGCGUGGGGAGCAAACAGGAUUAGAUACCCUGGUAGUCCACGCCGUAAACGAUGGGCACUAGGCGUCGGGGGAGCGACCCUCCCGGUGCCGUAGCUAACGCUCUAAGUGCCCCGCCUGGGGAGUACGGCCGCAAGGCUG
RNAcentral lists this ribosomal RNA (370 nucleotides) under uncultured bacterium. Its description in RNAcentral is "bacterial SSU rRNA". It matches the Rfam family "Bacterial small subunit ribosomal RNA", at positions 527 to 896 of the family's 1533-position model. The record is from RNAcentral.